UGAGACACGGCCCAGACUCCUACGGGAGGCAGCAGUGGGGAAUAUUGCACAAUGGGCGCAAGCCUGAUGCAGCGACGCCGCGUGAGGGAUGACGGCCUUCGGGUUGUAAACCUCUUUCAGUAGGGAAGAAGCGAAAGUGACGGUACCUGCAGAAGAAGCACCGGCUAACUACGUGCCAGCAGCCGCGGUAAUACGUAGGGUGCGAGCGUUAUCCGGAAUUAUUGGGCGUAAAGAGCUCGUAGGCGGUUUGUCGCGUCUGUCGUGAAAGUCCGGGGCUUAACCCCGGAUCUGCGGUGGGUACGGGCAGACUAGAGUGCAGUAGGGGAGACUGGAAUUCCUGGUGUAGCGGUGGAAUGCGCAGAUAUCAGGAGGAACACCGAUGGCGAAGGCAGGUCUCUGGGCUGUAACUGACGCUGAGGAGCGAAAGCAUGGGGAGCGAACAGGAUUAGAUACCCUGGUAGUCCAUGCCGUAAACGUUGGGCACUAGGUGUGGGGACCAUUCCACGGUUUCCGCGCCGCAGCUAACGCAUUAAGUGCCCCGCCUGGGGAGUACGGCCGCAAGGCUAAAACUCAAAGGAAUUGACGGGGGCCCGCACAAGCGGCGGAGCAUGCGGAUUAAUUCGAUGCAACGCGAAGAACCUUACCAAGGCUU
This 652-nucleotide ribosomal RNA is filed under the name Micrococcus sp. MMRF732. RNAcentral describes it as "bacterial SSU rRNA". It matches the Rfam family "Bacterial small subunit ribosomal RNA", at positions 320 to 982 of the family's 1533-position model. The record is from RNAcentral. Lineage: Bacteria; Bacillati; Actinomycetota; Actinomycetes; Micrococcales; Micrococcaceae.